UGGUCAAGCUACAAAGGGCUCACGGUGGAUACCUUGGCACACAGAGGCGAUGAAGGACGUGUUUACCUGCGAUAAGUCUCGGGGAGCUGGAAAAACGCUUUGAUCCGGGAAUUUCCGAAUGGGGCAACCCCUAGAACGGCCAGCUGAAUCUAUAGGCUGGCGCGAGCCAACCCAGCG
This 177-nucleotide ribosomal RNA is filed under the name uncultured Synechococcus sp. RNAcentral's name for it is "partial 23S ribosomal RNA". It matches the Rfam family "Bacterial large subunit ribosomal RNA", at positions 1 to 190 of the family's 2925-position model. Lineage: Bacteria; Bacillati; Cyanobacteriota; Cyanophyceae; Synechococcales; Synechococcaceae. The record is from RNAcentral.